AAGCGCUUGCAAUCAGACUUGUCUGUAGGAGUUCAACUUGGCUUUUGUCUUGUGUACUCUCCUAUUUACAGGCCAGCAUCAGUUUGGGUGGUAGGAUAAAGACGAUUGGAAAGUAGCUUCUUUUCUUCGGAAUUGAAGUGUUAUAGCCUCCCGUGUCAUACUAUCAACCUGGACUGAGGAACGCACUUUUGUACGGAUGCUGGCGUAAUGGUUGUAAGCGG
This 221-nucleotide ribosomal RNA is filed under the name Pyxidiophora siamensis. RNAcentral describes it as "Chalara siamense partial large subunit ribosomal RNA". Lineage: Eukaryota; Fungi; Ascomycota; Laboulbeniomycetes; Pyxidiophorales; Pyxidiophoraceae. The record is from RNAcentral.